Molecule: ribosomal RNA, 496 nt
Filed under: uncultured bacterium
Lineage: Bacteria
Description: partial 16S ribosomal RNA
Rfam family: Bacterial small subunit ribosomal RNA
Source: RNAcentral
AUUGAACGCUGGCGGCAUGCUUUACACAUGCAAGUCGAACGGUAGAGGGGGCAACCCCUUGAGAGUGGCGAACGGGUGAGUAAUGCAUCGGAACGUGCCCAGUCGUGGGGGAUAACGCAGCGAAAGCUGUGCUAAUACCGCAUACGAUCUCUGGAUGAAAGCGGGGGACCGAAAGGCCUCGCGCGAUUGGAGCGGCCGAUGUCAGAUUAGGUAGUUGGUGGGGUAAAGGCUCACCAAGCCAACGAUCUGUAGCUGGUCUGAGAGGACCAACAGACACACGGGGACUGCGACAUGGCGCAGACUACUAAGGGAGGCAGCAGUGGGGAAUUUUGGAAAAUGGGCGAAAGCCUGAUCCAGCAAUGCCGCGUGCAGGAAGAAGGCCUUCGGGUUGUAAACUGCUUUUGUACGGAGCGAAAAGGCCCUUUCUAAUACAAGGGGCUCAUGACGGUACCGUAAGAAUAAGCACCGGCUAACUACGUGCCAGCCGCCGCCGUAA